Molecule: long non-coding RNA, 216 nt
Organism: Magnolia sinica
Lineage: Eukaryota; Viridiplantae; Streptophyta; Magnoliopsida; Magnoliales; Magnoliaceae
Exons: 3
Source: RefSeq, a predicted model, not a curated record
ACUUCCACAUGUGUUCACAUGCAGGAAUGACUGGAACAACGCGCCCUACUCACUACCAUGUUUUACUGGAUGAGAUUGGCUUCUCCCCUAAUGAUCUCCAAGAGCUUGUGCAUUCAUUGUCCUAUGUAUAUCAGAGGAGCACAACUGCAAUAUCAAUCGGUAAGUACCGUGUUUCUGUUAUGCGGUAAUUGCCUAUUUUAUGUUGUGAGGGGUUUU